CAAAAUUUAAAUUAACUAAAAAAAAAAAAAAGAGAGAGAGAGAGAGAGAGAGAGAAAGACGUUACUUCUCGGAGGAACUGAGAAGCAGAGGAACUACAGAACCCAGUAGCUAAUCAACUUGUUCCUGUUUUUUUUUAGGUUUCAGUUUGGGUUCUUGAAGAUGGCAAUGAAGAUCCUUUCUGGAAGCUGCUCUUCUGACCUUUCAUCUCUCUUUAGAGGAGCUUUCUACAUCAAUAGGACUCGACUCACUUCUCCUGAGGAAGUGUUCUGUUGCCAAGGAAUCAGUUUUUCUAGUACUGAUUCUCGUGCAAAUGAAUCAUUCAACUCAAGGGUAGAACCUCCAUCGCUAUUAGCGGCUGAAAAAAAAGAAGCCAAGUCUGUGCUAACCUUGUUCUUGAUGCAGCAAGGUCUGAGCAAAGCAGUUGCUGCACGAACUGUCAAUAAAUCAGAUCAUUUCAUCGACCACCUUAUCUCAAGGCUUCAUUCAUCUCAUAAAUCUCGGUAUCUUGUAGGAAGAGAGCUCACAACUCUUGAGAUUAGGGACACCCUUAAUCCUUAUCUUCAAUCACUCCUUGAAGAGCAUGGAAACUUUAUGGUAGAUUUAGUGAAGAACUUUCAUACCGCACCUAUCGAAGAAAAGCCAGCUUUGCCAGUUUGUCGAUCCCAUUCCAGCCUUGACUCCAAGAAGCCAGAAGCAGUCUCUUAUGUAAGCGCCCCAAGUCCAGCAGCAGAUCCAUGCCCUCAACUUAGCUACCUCUUAGAGCUUGGAAUGGAUCUUGAGCAGAUCAAGUUAGCUACUCGCAAAUAUCCUAGUUUUGCCAACUACAGCUCGGAGAGGAAAAUCAAACCUCUAGUAGAGUUUCUUCUUGAUCUUGGGGUAGCUAAAUCAGAGAUUCCUAAAAUUCUUGUCAAAAGGCCUCAUUUAUGUGGACGUAGUAUAUCUGGUAAAAUAAUACCCAUCAUGUUAUACUUGGAAGAUAUGGGUGUGGACAAGAAACAGUGGGCAAAAGUUAUAUUCCGCAGCCCAGGACUCCUCAGUCUCAGCAGGCAGAAGGUUCAGGCAGUUGUUAAUUUCCUUCUUGAGUUGGGCUUAUCAGGUGAUGGCAUCUGUAAGGUCUUAACUCGGUAUCCAAAAACUGUAAGUUACAGUGUGGAAGACAAUCUCCGGCCGACAGCCGAGUACUUCAAAAGUUUCGGGGUUAAUAUUGCCAUCAUUGUCCACAGAUUUCCAGCGAGUCUUUGGCUUAGUAUUGAGGGCAAUCUCAAGCCUGUGACCAAAUUUUUUUAUGAAAGGGGGUUCAGUGUGGAAGAUAUCGGGACCAUGGUGUCGAGAUUGCCUAAUUUAUAUGCUCUUAGCUUGACAGGGAGCUUGAUACCCAAAUGGGAGUUCUUUUUUACCAUGGGUUAUUCAAAAUCUAAGCUGGUUAAGUUCCCUCAGUAUUUUAGUUACAGUUUGGAACAGAGAAUCAGACCACGUUUUGCACUUGUCAAGGAGUUAGGACUGACAAUCGGGCUGGACUGCAUGUUAGUACGAUCAGACUGUGGCUUUGAGAAAUUUUUGAAGAUGAAGAGAAAGAAUAUGCUUGCUGACGAGCUUUCAAGUCAUACAGAGAGCAAGUAAUAUGAUCAUUGGUCAGGAACUGGAUUGUAUGGCUCCUCAAUGGAGUGCUCAUUUAGAUGGAGCAGCCCAAUGGUACAGUUUUCAGGCUUGACUUUAACAAGUUUGUUGAAGGUAUCUUCGAGUGUCGUCCACAGUGUGGUCCGUCCUUUUCAUCAAUUGUUUCUCUAUAAUCCUUGUCUUUGCUGAAGUUUUCUCUUCUGCAUUACUCUUUCUUGCAAGUUAGUAUUCCCAGGAAGCACGGAAGUGAAUUCAAUCACUGUUGUUUAUAUGAGCCUCUCUUCCUUAUCAUGCAAAUUUUUUUGUCGCAAAUUGAUUGGCUACUUUAAUGUAAUUGUUCUUUGAAGACUCUUGUGCUUGGAGGAGAUUCUUCAAAAGUGUGCUAAUUGUUAAAGUUCUGAAGCCAAAAAAUCAGUUGUAUGGAAUGAUAAAUAUUAUUCAAGCAUCCGAAUCUAUGGCUAUAAUUUCUUAUUCUCACUUUAGAAUAGGAGAAGAGGGAGAUACCCAAACCAAAAAUUAUCAAGAAAGCACCUAGAGUCGGUACUCAUUUUCUUCUUGAAGAGCUUGGCAAGAUUUAGCUAAUAAUCAUUCUGCUUUGUAACAUGUGUGAUGAAGAUUUUCGUUUCAUGUUGAAAUUAUUCAGGGAAGAAAUAGUUAAGUGAGAUGAAAGAGAAUGUUAGAGAGAGGAAUGAGUUUCUGUCUUCUUCUGUAAUGUUUCAUAAAAAAGUAGGGAACAUACAUAAGGCGUUCUUUGCUUUUUCAUUGUAUAAGUUCUCUUGACAACUCAUUUGCCUAACUGGAUUGCUCACCAUGGGAGUCAAGUUAACCUUGUGAUGUUGUUACUUUACUUGCCAUUGAAAUUGUAUUAGAAUUUAGAACUAGAAAGCAU
Molecule: RNA transcript, 2507 nt
Organism: Pistacia vera
Lineage: Eukaryota; Viridiplantae; Streptophyta; Magnoliopsida; Sapindales; Anacardiaceae
Gene name: transcription termination factor MTERF5, chloroplastic-like
Exons: 6
Source: RefSeq, a predicted model, not a curated record